CUUUGGGAUAACUUCAGGAAACGUGGGGCUAAUACCGGAUAGGAGCUCCUGCUUCAUGGUGGGGGUUGUAAAGUUUCGGCGGUUGGGGAUGGACUCGCGGCUUAUCAGCUUGUUGGUGGGGUAGUGGCUUACCAAGGCUUUGACGGGUAGCCGGCCUGAGAGGGUGACCGGCCACAUUGGGACUGAGAUACGGCCCAG
This 198-nucleotide ribosomal RNA is filed under the name uncultured Actinomycetales bacterium. RNAcentral describes it as "partial 16S ribosomal RNA". It matches the Rfam family "Bacterial small subunit ribosomal RNA", at positions 136 to 334 of the family's 1533-position model. The record is from RNAcentral. Lineage: Bacteria; Bacillati; Actinomycetota; Actinomycetes; Actinomycetales.